RNAcentral lists this ribosomal RNA (253 nucleotides) under uncultured bacterium. RNAcentral describes it as "partial 16S ribosomal RNA". It matches the Rfam family "Bacterial small subunit ribosomal RNA", at positions 524 to 776 of the family's 1533-position model. The record is from RNAcentral.
UACGUAGGGGGCAAGCGUUGUCCGGAUUUAUUGGGCGUAAAGAGCGUGUAGGCGGCCUUACAGGUCAGCUGUGAAAACUCGAGGCUCAACCUCGAGACGUCGGUUGAAACCGUAUGGCUAGAGUCCGGAAGAGGAGAGUGGAAUUCCCGGUGUAGCGGUGAAAUGCGCAGAUAUCGGGAAGAACACCCGUGGCGAAGGCGGCGAGCUGGACCACUACUGACGCUGAAGAACGAAAGCUAGGGGAGCAAACAGG